GAACAAUGGCGCAUGCGCACGGGUUCUUUUUUUCCUCUCGACGACUCUGGGGGCCAGGGGGUGUGCCAGCAGCCGCCACCGUGUCUUGUGUAGCCGAGUUUGUCUGUGCUUUCUUUCUAUUUCUAGUCUACGAUUUACACGGUGAUCCGCAGUCUGUUCCAUUAAUAAUUAUUGAAAGCUCAAAAUGAUUGUUCAGGCAAUGGAGAUUGCAUUAGAGUGCGGCAAAGAACAAGGUAAUGGGGCCCCUGCUCUCCAGGAAGUUACCUGCUAAGGAGUUCCUGAACUUUCAUUUGGCAAUCAGUGAUAUAAGAGUUUGUUAAAUUGGUUGUUUUGGGUUUAUAGUAAUGAGCUAUAAAUCGGUGGGGGUGUUUGGAUCGGACUGUUUAAUUUGACAGACAAAACUCGCAAUCAGGAUGGUUAGAGAAAGUCAGAUGGCAAUUAGGGUGUUUAGAGAAAACAGGGCAACAGUUGAGCUGACACUUUUAGUAACAGACGGCGGUGAAUAAAAUUAGAAUCAAGGUAAAACAUUAGACUAGGAAGGACUUUGAUGUGUUUCAAAAACGAAGUUGUCCUGUGUGUGUGUGUGUGUGUGUGUGUGUGUGUGGAGAAGGCCCAGGUGAUGAUUAUGGAAAGGAACAUGGACUUUCCUCACCCCCAAGUGUUCUGACAUCUCCAUUGCUUACCUUCACAUUUCCAGGCCUUUUCAUUUUGUAGUGCCUGGUAUGUGUGUGGGGGCAGGGGCGGGGGUCGUCUUGAACCUCUUAUCUACAGCAGUGCCCUAUGGGAUAACGUUCAAUCUAAUGGCUUCACAUGCAGUCUACACACUUAUAAUUCCCAAAUUACAGCCCAAACACGGACUAUUAGUUAAUCCCAGACUCACAUAUACCCAACAUUUCAACAUGAACACAUCUCAUACCUAACUCCCCCACGUAGCCACCAAAACCUAUUCCUGCAUUCUUCAACUCAGUGAAUACUAAUUCCAUUCAUCCAAUUGCUGACCCCCAAACCUUGGAGUCAUCCUUGGCUUUUUCUCUUACACUGUAAAUCCAAUCCACCAACAAAUCCUUUAGUUCUAACCUUUAGGGCACAUCCACAUCCAAUCAAUUCACAUAAUCUACCAAGUUAUCCCUAGUCCAAACUAUUGUCUCUCACUUUAAUUUUUGGAGUAACUUCUUCACUAACCACUUUGUUUCCCCUCUUUAUAGUCAUCUGGAAGAGAAGAAUAUGUACAUUUAUGACAAACAGAGAUAAAUCUAUUCUGGACUGGAAAUAAAUGUUUCAAGAUAAUUCUCUUUGAUAUCAUCCAUUUUAAUGCUGUUGCUGCCAUGGUUUCAUAAGUGAUUGUCAGGUGGUAUAACAAAAGAUUUUGAAGAGAAACUGCCUUUAAAGUCUACUUCUAGGCACACCAGUUUUUACCCCAUAAGACCAGCAGGUGCCUCAAUCUGGGUCCCAGGUGACUUGGAGCCAGAGCUAUGUCUCCACCCUUUGCUGUGUUCUUCAAACAGAAGCCAGAGAAACUUUCAAAUUUUGUUUAAAACCCACUGAGUCUUGCUAUCUCGCCCAGAGUAAAGGAUAUAAUAAUAUGAUGCCCUAAAAAGCUCUAGGUCAACUGGACACUUAACCAUUCUGCCCCAUCUCCUGUAUCUCCUCCUCUUGAUCUCUUGACCCAAGCCACCAAGAUUUCCUUUCAGUUCCUUAGAUGCUCCUUUUCCUUCCAUUUUGGCCUGUUAUUUGCUAUUUCCCUUAUUUAAAGUAUGCUUUGCCUGAUUGCCUACAUGGCUUUUUCCUUAUUUUUUUCAUGUUUUGUUUAAAUGUAAUCUGCUCAGUGAAAAUUUCUCUUGACCAAUCUAAAAGUGUAACUCACCUGCCUACGAGAUUUCUCAUCUCCCUUUCCAGCUUAAAUUUUACCACCAUAUUUUACUUAUUUACUUUGUUUAUUGUCAGCCUUGCUUCAAUGUAUUAUCAGCUCCACAAGACCAAGGAUUUUGUCUAUUUUGUUAAAACUGCUUCUUCAAUGCCUAAACAAUACCUCAAAAAUAUUUUUGAGUGACUAUAUGAAGAAAAGAAGGACUAAGACUUUUACUUUGGAGAGUGAUAUUAUAUAAAGAUUCCAAAAUAAUUCAAGCUUAUUCUAGCUGUUUCAUGAUAAAUAGGUUAUAAAAGGGCAGGAGUAAAAACAGCUAGAUCAGUUUUAUGUUCUUGAAGACUGGGUGAGAGCAUGUGAUAGUUUGGAGAAGCAUAUAAAUACAGGUAGAAGAGAUGAAAUUUCAGAUGCACUUUGGUGGUAGACCUGACAGGACUUGAGUUGAAUGUGAUGGAUAAAGAAUAAAAAUGAAAAUAAUUUCUAGAAAUACUCAUCAAUAGGAGAAACUAUACACAUAAUCACAUAUCAAUUUUCAGAAAAUUAUACUAAGUGAAAAAGUCAGUACCUAAAGAUUAUAUACUACAUGCAUGUUAUAUGACAUUUGGUGGUGGCAGGGUGGGGAAUUGAAUCUUGGAGUACUGUACCACUGAGCUACAUCUCCAGUCCUUUUUUAAAAAUUUGAAACAGGAUCUCACUAAGUUACUGAGGGCUGGCCUUGAAUUUAUAUUCUCUGCCUCAGCCUCCACAAUAGCUGCAGCAUUCUUAAAAAAAACCCAAAAUUAUAGAAAUGGAGAAUUGAUUAGUGGUUGACAGGAGUUAAGGAGAGUGUAGUGGUAGGGAAGGGAGGGUGACUAGAAAGACAAAAGCAAUAGAAAUCUUUGUGGAAUGGAAUGUUCUGGAUCUUGACUAUCUCAGUAUCCUGGUUGUGCUAUGGUUUUUGUUUUAAACAGUUUUGUUAAGAUACAAUUCACAUACCGUACAAUUUACUCAUUUAAAGUGUACCAUUCAUUACCUUAUUAGUAUAUUCACAGAUAUGUGCAACUAUCACCACAAUUUUUUUUUUCUGGUACUGGGAAUUGAACCCAGGGCUGCUUUACCUCUGAGUUAUAUCCCUGGUCCCUUUUGAGACAGAUUCUUGCUAAAUUGCCCAGGUUGGCCUCAAACUUGUGAUCCCUCUGCCUCAGUAUCCCGAGUAGCUAGAUUACAGGCAUGCACCACUGUUCUCAGCUCUAUAGUCAGUUUUAAGAAAAUUUUCAUCACUUCAGAAAAAAGUUUUGUACCCUUUGAUUAUCAUACCCCUCUUCUGUUUUUCUCCCCCCUACAGCUUGAUGCAUUCACCUCGAAUCUGUAUAGAUUGCCCUAUUCAGGAGAUUAAUAUGAAUGGGAUUGUAUAAUUAUGUAGCCUUUUGUGUCUUUUCAGUUUGUAUGAUGAUUUUGAGUUUCAUCCCAGUAAUAGUAUGAUAUCAGCACUUCUUUCUUAUGGCAGAAUAAUAUUUCAUUGCAUGGAUAUACCACUGAUUGUUUGCCCACUCAUCUAUUAAUGAACAUUAUAACUGCUAAAUUGUGGGGGAUAGUCUGUGUGACCUCUAAGAGUUGAAAAAUGAUAGUUGUAAUUUGAAUUUUCCUGGAAGUCCAGGGACUAAAGUUGUAACAAAGUAUAAACAAGAAGAAGGGGGCUUUUAAAAGAGGAAGGAUGAGAACCUGAACUUUCAACCUUAGUGAGCUAGGGCAUAGAAGGGAGGACAGAAGCCAUACUGGGAAACUUGGAUUUGAUCAGAUAGGCAAAGGGAGCCACUUAUUAAGUUUUUAAAUAGAAAAAUACAUGAAGACAGUGGUGUUUUGUCCUUUAAGAUUAAACUGGAAGUGAUUUACAAGAUGGAUUAAAGUGGUGACAGACUGGAAACUCUGCUGAUUUGCCUGGCUUUUCCUUUGGAAUUUUCCUUGCUGGUUAGUGAAAAUAUCUUGUUUCUUGUUAUAAGGGAGAUUUAGCCCCAAAUAUGGAAAAUUUGACUUUCUUGCUUUAGUCUCUUCCUAGUGUUUUCAUUAAACACAGAGGUAUUACAGAGAAAUCAUAGGCUAGGCAUCACCUGGUGCUAUCUAGGUGAAAUCAGGUGUAAGUUUUAAUCUUCACACAUUUAUCAGCUUAUUAAAUGCUUUUCAUUCUAUGAUCACCAUGUCAAACUGUGGGAAAACAAGGAAACCAAUCCCAGCCCAUAAGGAAUUCACAAUUUAGUAUGGGGUGGUGAGCAUAUGAAAUGUAAAACUAAUCAUGGCACUGUGUGAGAAUGUCUGUGUACACAAUGUUCUUGGGAAUUCUGGAGAGGAAGUAACUCAACUGUCAGAGAAGGUUUGAGCCUAUUAGGGAAGGUAACAUUUGACUACCUCUACUGGACAGGCUAAGAAAGUGGCAAAGGCAGGCACACAGGUUUGGCCUCAUUAAACUUGAGAAAAAGCAUAAAGUGAUCAGAGACUUUGAGAAGAUCUUAGUACCCAGAGGGUAGGCUAUCUGGAGUCACACAACAUGAGUCUGCAUUGGGAGGUUAGAGCUGAAUUAUCAAAAUCCCUGUGGACUGUACUGAGGAGUUGAAUCCUGUUCUGGAGGCCAAGGAUCCUUAACAUUCUCUUUACAUCACUCUCUUUGCUGUGCCCUCCUGUGUCUUGAGAAGGCUCAUCAUCUCUCAAAGACUUUGGCAACAUUCUUUCAAAGUGUCUCCCUGCCCUGGCCCUGUACCUGUCCACCCUGCUAGCUGGGUGAUUUCCGUGGCUUAAAUGUGUCCCCCAAAAUUCACGUGUUAGAAACCUGACCCCGAAUGCUGCAGUGUUGAAAGCCAUACCUGUUGGGAGGUAUUUGAACCUUGGGGGCACUGCUCUCAUGAAUUAAUUAGUGCCAUUAUCAUGAGAGAGUUUCCUAUAAAAGAUGAGUUCAGUCCCCUCUUGCUCUCUUUCACCUUCCCUUUGCAAGGAUACCCUCACCAAAUGCCAGCCGCUAAAUCUUGGACUCAGCUUCCACAACCAUGAGUCAAUAAGUUCCUCUCCAUUCUAAGUUACCCAGUCUGUGGUAUUGUUAUAGCAGCACAAAACAGACUUAACAGUUAUUGAAGUUGGAUAUAACCCUGUUAUGGUAUGUUCCCUCCACAUUUGUAUGUUGAUGUCCUAACCCCCAGUACCUCAGAAUGUGAUUAUGUUUGGAGAUAGGAUCUUGAAAGAAGUAAUUAAGUUAAAAUCAGGUUAUAAGUUUGGACCUUAAUUCAGUAUAAACUAGUGUCUGUAAAAAUAGAAGAUUAGGACACAGACAUGUACGGAGGGAAGACCAUGUGAAGAUAAGGAAGGCAGACAUCUGUAAACCAAGGAGAGAGGCCUCGGAAGAAACAUCUCUACCAACACCUUGAUCUUGGACUUCCAGCCUCUAGAAUUGUGAGAAAAUAAACUUCUGUUGUUUAAGCCACCCAGUCUGUGACACUUUGUUAUGGCAGCCCUACCAAAGUAAUAUAUUCUGUCACUUCCUGUUUUGUAUGGUAUAAAGUCAGAACUUAUUAGCAUAUUCUAUAAAGUUCUUGAAGACAUUAUCUCUCUAGAACCCUACACUCUUCCUCACUGAGCUCUGCUCAAACAAGCUACCAACUUUAUUGUUUCUUCUGUAAAGUUCCUCAGUCUAAAAUGCCUUUCUGCACCCUCUUAUCCUAUUCUCUUCAUUUAAGAUUUGGGUGAGGCAUCACCUUCCCUAUUCUGUGUUUUGCAUUGGUCAAACAUAGCUGAAGAAAUCACCCCAUCCUCCCCCACUCUACUGAAAACAAACUUAUCUUAGAGCUCCUAACAUUUUAGCCUAUAUAUAUGUUUUAUUUGCACCACUAGACUCAACUAUGGAUAUCUUCAUUCAAAUAUAAUGUUAGAGUUCUGAUUACUGUCUCAGUACCUGACAUAUAACAAGUACUCAGUAAGUACUCUAAAAAUGAAUGAAUGUACAUUAAGUCUAGUUAUCCAGAACUAUAUAAUCUUAAAGGAAAUUGAUCCCCAUUUUGGUAUUCCCUAAUGAAUACCUACUACUACUGUGGUGAAUGCAGUUUGAGUGACCAAAAUGCUCAUAUCAGUUGAUUUAAUAUCUCAGAUAUUUCUGAAUAGCACAUUGUUUUUAAUCCAUCUAUACUUUUUAUGUACUACAUGCAGAUGCCUAUUUCAUUUUAAUGCCUGCCUUCUUUAGUUAUAUUUUCAGUUAAUAUUGUCAUUUUUUCAGUUCAGCCACAUUAAGCUUGAGAAAAAGCAUAAAGUAAUCAGAGAUUUUGAGAAGAUCAAAGUCACAUAGCUUUUCUAUGCCAGACACAGUUCAAUUCUGAGGGGGAAAAUAUUACUAAAUACUGUUUUUAUAGAAAGGAAUUCAGCUAGGCAGAGGACAUAUAAACCAACAAUUAUACUUCAGUAUGAUAGGACAAAGAUAUGUUCAUGGGGUGUAAUGACAGAGUGGUUUAAUUAAAUUGAAAGCAAAACCAUGUCCUACAUUUAGGUGUUAAUUCUAAGUUUUUUGUUUGUUUGUUGGCAAAAUAAUUAUUGUUUCUUGGUGUGUAUAUCUUCAUUAGAUGACUUUUUCCUGACCUCCUUCCCUUGCUCUGGAGAUACCUUAUUGGAACUCCCUAUGUGCUGUUUACACCUAAUGCCUGUGUGAGAAUGUCCAGAAGGCUCAAGCCUGCUGUCAUCCUCAUUAAAGAAUCACACAGAGAGAAGCUGCCUUUGGAGGACUUUAAUCCCCUCUUUCUUCACUUAGCACCUCAUAUAAAGCUAGGAUUGACAGAUAAUUCUAUCCUAGCUCUGAGGUCUUGCAAUAUGUGAAGGGAAGGAUAUUAGCAAAAGGGAGCUAUCACUGUUCUUUUUCAUCUGUCCCUAACAUAAGGACCUGACAUGUGGCUGCCCCAGUCUUUGAAGGGAAGUAGCAACUCCCAGUAGUUGGGUGUAUCUCAGAGAAAUCCAAAAGAAUUGUAAUGAAUCUAUAAGAGUUGACAAGCCAAUAUAAGCCACUAGCCAAUUCAAAAACAUAAAUAAAAUACCUGUGUAUCUGUCAAAAUAUUUCUAAUUCUAGUGUCUUUUGUAGAAUAUUCAUUGUCUGUUUUGUCCUCCUCUAAAAUCUACAGUAUAAAUAAAUACUGCCUGAUUGAUUAGCAGAUAAGCAUGGUUGGUUGACACAAUUACUGAUAGAAUAAGUGAUACUGAACUACAGUAGAGGUAUUUUUUUUUUUUUUUGGUACUGGGGGAUUGAACCCAAGGAUGCUUUACCACUGAGUCACAUCCCCAGCCCUUUUUAUUUUUUAUUUUGAGGGUCUUACUAAGCUGUUGAGGGUCUCACUAAGUUGCUUAGGCCACUUUGAACUUGAAAUCCUCUUGCCUUUGCCUCCCAAAUCACUGGGAUUACAAUCAGUCAUGAGCCACUGUACCUAGCUAGUACAGUUUUCUGAUAGCGAUAGUUAUUAACACAUUCUAAGGUGAUAACUAACUUAAAUUAUCUGGCCAAAAUGUUAUUGUUGGAAAAAAAUUGUGGAAAAAAAUACAGACUUCUUAUUAAAGUAAUUUUAAAAUCAAUUUCCCAUUUAUUUUAUGUAUUAUGCCAAUGAGGAAAUUAAGCUAGUAUUAUAUGCAAGUCAAAGUUAUUACUGUUUUAGUUUAAAAAUAACAAGUAAAUAUUGAGAAGAUGUAGGGAGCCAGGCAGAAUUUUCAACCUGGAACCCAAAUAGGAUAAGAGUUUUCAGGAACUCUAGAGACCCUAGAUCGAAGAAGAGUUAACUAGCAAAACAGUAACACUCCUCACAGGUGUACCCUUUGUUAUGCUUUUACUUAUCUGUUUAUACAUCUAUUAUAGUUUGAAUCCUAAAUGCCCCACCCUCUCAAGGCCCAGAUGUUGAGGGGUUAGUCCCAGGGAGACACUAUUGGGAGGUGGUGAAUGGUGGGGCCUAGUGGAAGAUCUUUAGGUCAUUGAGGAUGUGCCCUGAGGAGAUUGUGGGACCCCUGCCUCUUCCUUGUUCUCUCUUGGGCUUUCUGGCCAUGAGAUGAUCAGUUUUGUUCCGCCAUGUGCUUCUACCAACAUAUGCUGCCUUGCCACAAUACUUAUAGCAAUGGGGGUCAAUUGAUCAUGGACUGAAACCUAUAAGCCAUAUUAAACAUUUUCUCUCUAUAAGAUGAUUAUGGCAGGUAUUCGUUACAGUAAUGGGAAACUAAUACAACAUCUAUUCUUUCCACUAAGCUGUUAGUUAUGUAAAGUCAGGAAUGAGGUGUAUUUCUAUCUUUACAUUUCUAUCUUUAUAUAUACAUUUUGGAGGAUAUAAAAUAAAGAGAAAGAGGCCUGAAGAUAGCUCCAAAAGGGAAAAACAUGGGGGUUUCUUAGGAAUGUACUUGAAUAGUCUAAUAUUAUACCAAAAUAAUCUGAUAUGAGACUAUGUAUAUGGUUAGAGAAGUCUUCCCUGACUUUUCUAUUUAGAAUAGAAUGACUUCCCUCCAUUUCUCAUCACUGUGUUUAUUUCCUUCCCAGCAUUCAUCAGAGUCUGUAAUGGCCUUAUUAUUUGGCUAAAGGGUAACAUACCUCUUUUCACCUCAAGAUGAUUACGACAAAGCAGGAACCUAAUAUGUGGUCUUAUUUAUUACUAAUCAAUAAGGAUUUGUUGCUCAGUAACUAUUUGCUAAAUUGGGCACAGUGGCACAAACCUGUAAUCCCAGCAACUGGGGAGGCUAAGGUGGGGAUUCUCAAGUUCAAGGCCAGCUUGAGCAACUUAGACCCUGUCUCAAAAUAAAAUAAAUAAAUAGAAAGGGCUAUGGAUAUUGCACAGUGGUAAAGCACCCUGGGUUCCAUCCUCAGUACUACAAUUACAACAACAAAACUAUUUGCUAAAUGAAUCUGAAUGAAUUCAUAUGUGUGAUUUAAGCUGAAUGAAUGUUUAGUUUGUAUCCUGAACAUUUCUUACAUGAUAGAAAAGAGUACUUAUAUUCCAGCAGACAGUGGGCAGAAUGGGAGAUAAAAUUCUUCAAAAAGAAGAGCGCAAGAAAUGCCUGGAAUCCUGGUGUUUGAUCUCUGAAAGGGAGAGCUCUUCUUUUCACUCUUCUAAGUAACAGUGGAAAUUGACCCCUUGCCAGGGGAGGAAGGGACCUGGGUCGUGGUAUUCUUAUCUUCGAAGGCUUUCCUGAGUACUGGAGAUAGGGGCUGAAGGAGUUGUCACCAGGAACUGAACAACCUUGUAUUUAGCAAAAGUAUUCUGUAGCUGCCAUGUGUAUAUAUGUGCAAUAAGAAUUGUAAUGCAUUCCACUGUCAUUUAUUUAUUUAUUUUUAAAUCAAUUAAAAAAAAAAAAGAACCAAGGCCAUGAACACACACACACACACACAAAAAAAAAAUGUCUAAGAAAAUGGUUGUAACAGCAGCAGCUACAAAGCAGAGGUGUCUGAAGCUGCUGGAAAGGAUUCGUGUACUAGUUGCACUAACUGUCCUUAUCUCUUCAUCUCUUUGAUUAAAAAAAAAUCUUUUAAAAAUUAAGAAAAAAAGUUCGCUCACUCACUUUCCAUUUCUUUUUUAGUAUUAUCUGCUGUGUUUCUCUGCUCUUAUACUACUUUUGUUUUCAUCUCUAUUUCAGAAACAUUUUUUUUCUUUUAUUUCUCUUUCUUCAGUUCUGUCAUCUCAAAGCUGAGCUUUUUAAUGUUGUGUUCUUCCGCAUCUUGAGUUAUUUUCUGGGUGUUUUCAUGCCUAUUUUUAAAUGUCAGGUACAGUUUUGAGCCAUUUGGUGGACACAUCUUCCUGUCCUGUUUUACUUGUCUGUAGGGAUGAAUCUAGUUUGCUCUUUAUACAGUUGUCUCAUAAUUAUUUUGUAUGGAGUUUUCCCUCCCUGCUCUCCUGUGGUUAUUUCUAUAGGAAAUUAGUUCUUUAUAGUUUUCUUUUUUUCCCCCUUAAUUUUUACAGUGACACAGUAGGAGGAAAUCUUUUCUGACUUCAACAAGCUCCCUUUUUGUUGUUUUAUGGUCAAAACCUCAGUGACUUGUUUCUGGAUUCCCUGAACCUGUUCCCUCUGGAGCUUUCCUUUCCUCUGUCUCACCAUUUAUUUUUUUCUCUGCAGCUACAGCUUCUCCUCAGUGUGGAGCCUUGUUGCAGAUCCCAGCAGUAGAGAAUCAUGAAUUUGGUAGUGCCUGCAGCGCUGCGAUCUUGCCACUCCAGUGCUGCCCUGGCCCUGGUGUGCUGAGUGCUCACUGUCAAAGCUGCGGUAACACCAGCGGGGCUUGCACCUACUUCACCAGCUAGCUGUGCCAUCCCCGCAGCUGGCUGGCUGUUUUCUUCACCUGGCACAGACCCUGGCAAUCUUGUGACCUCUUGUGUUGUGAGGUGUCCUUGCUUUGUUGUAAAUGUCCAAGCGUUUGGGCUUUGACAUCCAGUUCCUUUUCUCCCUCUCUCCCCUCCCUGCCUCCUCUCUCUCUACCUUGGCCACACACCCCACCCCCAGCAGUCACUUUCAACUGCAUUUAAAGCGGGGGUCAAACAUGGGCCUGAGCAUAUAUGACCUUCCAGACAGGCUCUUUAAAUUAAAGAGUGGUCCUAAAUAUUUUUAAAAUGUAUUGUUCCUUGUAUUACCACGCCCUAUUUAGUUGCUUAUUUCUUUUCUAAUCAUUUGGGCUAUAUUCACCUUCACCUUCCUCCUCCACUCCAAGUUUAAGUAACCUGUCUAGUACACAAACAUUACCACAUCACUCAAAUUUAUUACCACAUGAUUUGUACUUCUACCGAACAAAUUAGGUAGGCAUGGAAGGGCAUGGAAGGCCUCCAUGAAUGGGGCCUUCCUCCCCAUUCUACCUGACUCCCUUCUCCUGGCCUUCAAACUCUGAAUAUUAAUUGUAUUGGACUGCUUAUGAUCAAGCACAUACAUAUUCUGUUUCAAGCUUCUAUGCUUCUGUGUAUCUUAUGGCAUCUGUCUAGAAUGCCUUUUCCACUUUUCCAAAUCUUCUGGCUAAUUCUUUUUCUUUUUGCUACUAGGGAUUGAACCCAGGGGUGCUUAACCACUGAACAUAUCCCCAGCCCUUUUUAUAUUUUAUUUUGGACAAUGUCUCACCAAGUUGCUGGGGCUGCCUUUGAACUUGAGAUCUUCCUGCCUCAGCCUCCCUAGCUAUUGGGAUUACAGGUAUACCCCACUGCACCAGGCUCUUCUGGCAUUCUUAUUGGACCUUCCAGAGUUGACUGUCCUUCUGAGAUCCCACAGCAUUUUGUAUUUAACUUUAUCUUGAUCUAUCUAGAUCAACUGAUCAACUUGCAAAUGUGUCUGUCUCCUCUGCCUGACAGUAAACUAGGGACCAUAUCUUAAUUGCCUUUAUAUCCCAGCCUCAAGCACUAGGCCUCAUAUAUAAAAAGUAACAUUGUGGGCUGGGGAUGUGGCUCAAGUGGUAGCGCACUCGCCUGGCAUGCAUGGGGCGCUGGAUUCAAUCCUCAGCACCACAUAAAAAUAAAGAUGUUGUUCCACGGAAAACUAAAAAAUAAAUAUUAAAAAAUUCUCUCUCUCUCUCUUUAAAAAAAAAGUAACAUUGUCACUAAUUCUUUCUUCUAUUUAUUCUUUCUGAGUUAUUUUACCUCUCUUGAUACUUCAGCUAUACACUAUUUUAUUUACUUCUGUGCUAUAUUAAAAUAAAAUACAAUGCUGGUUACCCCCAAAUUCCUGUUUUGCACUCCAGAGCACUUAUUCACUUUUUCAAUUCCUUGGAUAACAUCUGUGCUUUCAUGUCUCCUAGGAAUCCAAAAUCAACCAACCUUCUGUUAGUGUUCCAUCUCUUGACCAGUGGCACCCUGUUGAUCAUGCCAGAAAAUAAGAAUUAUUCUAACUCAUUUUUUUUAACUCCCAAACAUUAGGUCUUUUUGAUUCCACUUUCCAAGAUUAUCUUGUUUUUGUCUCUUUCUCUCCCUACCUACUAUCACUGCAUCAACUGAAAGCUAUAUCAUCUUUCAGGGGAAACCAUGAAAAAUUUUUAACUAUAUUCCUGUAUGUAUCUUGACUUCUCUAUUUUAUACAUAACAGACAAGAUAAUUCUUUGAAAACUAAACCCUGGUUAUUGUCCUUUGCUUAAACCAAUCAAUAGUUUUUAAUUGUUCUUAGCAGGAAAUCUGAAAAUCUUUAAGCUGAUCUAUAAGUGCCUUUCUAACUUUUGUUCUUGUUUCCUUUAAGUUCCUCAAAUUUCUGGCUUUUUCCCUGUCUGGAUGCUCUCUCCAUCCCACUUCCCCCUUACUAGGCCAAACUCAUACCUUAGCUUUAAUAUGGAAAGUAUUUUUUCUGCUUUCCUUUAUAAUCAUAUUACUUAUGCAUGCAUCCCUAAAUAACUGUGUAGUCUGGCUUUUUCUGAUACUUUACAUAACUGAAAUCACACUGUCUGCAUCACUUUGUGACUUUUAUUUUAUGUUCAACAUUAUUUUUAAAGGAUUCAUUUAUGUUGUUCAAUGUAUAGUUUGUGCAUUUUCACUGUUCUUUAAAUAUUCCACAUUUCCAUAAAAUCUAUUCUAGAUUUGAUGAACUUUAGGGUUUCUGGUUUGGGACUAUAAUGAACUAAGAAUAAUGCUACUAUGAAACUUUUGUACAUAUAUCCUGGUCUAUCUGAGCACUCAUUUAUUCAGAGUAUGGAUGAAUGGGGUGCCAAACUAUGUUCUACAAUAGACAUUCAUGAUUAUACUGUUAAGCCAGGUUUCCAUUACUGUAACAAAAUAUUUGAGACAAACAACUUAAAGGUUUAUUUUGGCUCAUGUUUUCAGGUUUCAACCCAUGGAUGUCUGGCUUCACUGCUGUUGUACCUGUAGUGGGGCAGAACGUCUUGGCUGGGAAUACAUAGUGGAGCAAAACUGUCACCUCAUGGCAUCCAGGAAGCAAAGAAAAAUAGUGGGAGGGUCUGGGGUCCCAAUAUCCCUUUCAUGGGCAUGCCCUCAGUGAUCUAACUUCCUUGCACUAGGCCCUACCUCCUAAAAGUUCCAUCAUCUCCCAAUACCACCCUAGACUGGCAGCCAAGCCUUUUGCAUAUAGGCCUUUUGGGGACACUUAAGAUCCAAACCAUAACACACUCCUAACCAAGAGUGUUUAAGUACUACACAUCCUAACUGACACUUUUUAAUUCAUAGCAACCUGAUGAAAGUAUAUUUUGUAUACACUUAUUAUAAAAUGACAUUUUAUAAAUUGAUAAUAUGGCAAUAUGUGGUCAAUUGUUUCUAAUGAUGGCCACAACAAUCCCUAUUACCCAAAUGCCCUUCUGCAAUGUGAUGAUUUUAUAGCUCCUCCAUUAAACAGUGGCAUCUCCUCUUUUCCCUAAAUGUGAGCUGGACCCAUGAUUUGCUUUAACUUAUAGGUCUAGUCUUAAAAAGCCUGUCAGCUCCACAUUUACUUUCAGGGAUCCAGCCACCCUAUAAAUAGGGUCAGGAUAGAAUACUUAGUAGUAAGAGACUACAUAGGGGGGCCAAAUCAGUCCCCAGUUAUUCCAGCUAUCUCAGCUGAAGUGUCAGACGCAGAGUAAAGCCAUCUUAGACAUCCAUGUUUCAGUGGAGCUUCUGCUGAAUACAGCUGCAUAAGAAACACCAGCCAAUACUAUGCAAAGAAAUAAUAAAUGGUUGUGUUAAACCACUAAGCUGUAGAUAUUUUGUUAUAAAGCAAUAUGUAGCUGAAUCACAACAUAUCAAAAACUUUAAAAUCUUAACUCCCUCUGUAUUAGUUUCUUUCUUCCUAUAACCUUUAUAUCUUAAGAAAUAUUAGAUGUCAUUUUUAAAUGUGUACAAAUUUUCACGGUAGUGUCAUUGGCAUGUUUUGAAGUAGAAAUGGCCUCUUUGUUCUAAUUUAAAAGAUUGCAAUAAAUUACAACACAUUCAUAAGAUAGAAUAGCAUGAAACAAAACUACACUGAAAGGAUUUUUGUUUUGCUCUGUCCAUACAUGUUUUUAUUGCUUCUUUUUAGUUAUGCAUGACAGUAGAAUCCAUUUUGAAAUAAUUCUAAAAGCAUGGAAUAUAACUUGUCCUAAUUCAGUCCCCAGUACCUCCCUUACAUUUUCCCUCCCCAACCCCCUACUCCCUUUCCUUUAUUGAUCUUUCUGCCAUUUACCCAUAGUUAUUUUUUUCAAUUAAUUUUUUGUGGAUGUACAUGAUGGUGAGAUUCACUGUGGCAUAUUCAUAUUCACGUAUAAGAGUGUUAUUUCAGACUCAUUCCAUUAUCUUUCCUUAUUCCAACCCUCUUCCUUUCCCUCAUUCCCUGAAAGGAUUUUAAUGACUUUGGAAAAUGCCAGAGAAAAAUACCAGGUGAUUUUUCUUCAUAUGUAUAAAUUUUAUCCCCAAGUUGUUAAAAAAUUGUACAUAAAGGCUAGAAAAAAUGAAUAACAUUAACACUGGUUUGGUGGUUUUGAUUUGAUUUUUCCUAUUCUUUGAAAGUUUCUACAGAGCAUAUUAUUUAUAUAAAGAGAGAAAAGAAACUAAUGUUGUCUUUUGACAUAGUAGAAAGUUUGUAGUCAAACUUGACAUGCUCUGGCAGAGAAAUUGUCAAGAUGUGACACUCUACCCUUGGUGGCCAUCAGUUCAGAUUUCAGGAGCAGACUCAAAAGGCUUGGUAGCUUGGAUUUUUGAAAUUUGAACAACAUUGAAUUUUUAACUGUUUAACUUUCUAAAUUAAUUUUUAAAACUCUACUGUUUUUACUCUUGGAAGUAGUUCAUAAAAGAAAAGAUAUCUUGAGGUCUUGAAAGUAGAAAGUAUAUAAUCUUAAAGGACAAUACACGUUUAAGUUUAUGAAUAACUAACUAUGGUCUUUCUAAUUUUCAUUUUGUUGUGGAUGGUAGAAACAUUAUUUGGGAGACUCUGGUCCAAAGAAAGAAAAACAACACUAAAAUGUAAAAUUAUACAGGGAUAGCAAAUGACAUAUACAUUCUUAAUCAGUAGGAAAGCAUCUAGGUUUCCCAAUAAAAUCAUCUUUGAAGUAGAGAGUAAAGGAACUUCUAGAGCCAUGAGUCGAGUUUGGCUUCUCUAUAGCAGUGUUUCUUCAAGUGGAGGUGCUUAUUAAAUAAUCAGCAUCCAAAGCCCCAUCCGAGACAAUUGUUAUUGAAUCUCUGUGAAUGUGGCCUAAGAAUUCUUCAUUGUUAACAACAUUCUCAGGGGAGUCAUACAUUAGAACUUGAAGGAAACACUGUCUUUGAGAGAUUCUCUAUGUUGAUCUGGUUAGUGGUUACAUGGCUGGAACAUAUGUAAAAAUUCAUCAAGAUGUACAAUUAACUUGUUUAUGUUAGUUACAUUCUAUUAAAAAGUAAAAAGAAAUAAAAAUGUUUCUAAAACAUAAUGUAGCCAAAUAAGUCAUUUAUUAUUUAGUAAAUUUUAAUUUACACUAGUAGCCAUAAUUUAUACAUUUGUAUUGUACUGAAGCAGAUUGUUUUGUAUUUUUGUUAGCAAACUUGGGCAUUGGUCAUUUUAGAAAGACUCUUUGACGUAUUUUUGGUUAGAUUAAACUACAUUUUUUUUAGUGGAAAAAGAAUUUUGGUUUAUAGCCAAAUUUGUUUGGAUACUGAUAUAGAUAAAAUUACUUUAAAGUUUAAAAUUUCAUAUUUCUUUAGAAAAAUUAUGAUUGAAGUAAAUAAUACUUUUAAACCCUGUAGUCUUUGUUUUGUAAAUGUGAAAAAUGCAAGUAUGGGAGGGAAGAGAGGAAAAAAUAAUGGAAGAAACAGUUGCCCUCAGGACAAAUACUCUAGCCCAUACUCUCAAAAUAAGACAUUUCAGAAAUUUUGAUUCUUAAGUUAAAUCUCUCAUGAUAUAUUCUUUGAUUGCCAUUUAGAACAGCCUUCUUAACUGUGUAAUAGCUAUUGCAACAUUUUAUGUUUGAAAAUAUUUUUGUUAUUGUUUAUGCUGGUAAUAUUUUUAUUUUUUAAUUUAUAAAUAUUUCUAUAUUAGAAAGAGAGAAGCAAAAACCACUGUGAUGGGAAGAGAACCUUUAGGAUUUUGUUGCCUCUAAUUUUGGUCCCUGAUUCAUCAUACACCUUCACAAUUUUAUUUCUGUGAGAAAGAGGUCUGUUUUCUCUUGGAAUGCCACAUUGUUUAGGGAUGAAAUGUUCGGAGUCUUUAACACUGUAUUAGAGUGCCUCUUGAGUAUUUAGCAUCUGGAUACAGCCGUCAUCACAGUCAUGAGAGAUAGAGCAGGCCAGAACUGACUCUGUCUAGGGGAAAUAUCAGGACUAACACCAAAUCUAACACAGCUCUUUCCAGUGUUGCAAAAAUAAUAUAUCAGUAAGGCAUCUCUAUGAAAAACUUCUGCAGGCUUGUAUCUAAUCUGAAUUAUUGUCACCCAGCCCAUUAUAUACAUGUAGUAGGAAAUUCUAAUAGUGAAUGAUAUUAUUAUGACAAUUUCAGGGGAUUAUAAAUCAUGAUUUCCAUAAAUAAAAUGGUUGAAGCCUAUUAUUGUAAACUCUGUUUUUCACAUACAUAUAUAAUAGUAUCUUUCUCUAUUAAAAUAAUAGUGCUAAAAUAUUGAAGGACUUCUGAAAUCUAAUAAAUUGUCCAUGUUUUCUCAACAAUGAUUGCCUUAGCAUCACCAAGAGAGACAAACUUCUAAGGGAGAUGGCCCAUCUGAUUUACCUGUAUACAUUAAAAACACUUGUAAUUCCAGCUACUUUGGAAGCUGAGGCAGGAUUGUGGUUCCAGGACAGUACUGGCAACAUAGUGGGAUCUUGUCUAAAAAAUAAAAAAUAAAACAACAACAACAAAAGUUUAUUUCUAUUGCUAUAUUCUAAAAAUCAGAAAUAUGUAAUAAAAACAUAAACUGGGAAGAAAAUAACUAAAAUGUCUGGUAAAACGGACAAUUAAAUAUUAUUAUGCAUGUAUAAAGAUACGUCAAGAGUGAGAUUGACAGAUUAUUACAUUUAUUUAGCACAAUGACUAGCUCUUGCUUAUGAAUAUUAUAGUCCAACCAAGGGGUACUUAUAAAAUCCCAUUUUACAGAGGAGAAGUUGAGAAACAAGAGUUAGAUAACAUGCCCACAGUCACACCAGACAGACUUGAGGCCAAUAAGUCUGACUUAGGAAUUCUUAUUCUUUAUCACUGUGGUGUGUGUGUGUGUGUGUGUGUGUAUGUGUGUACUGGGUAUUGAAUGCUCUGCCACUGAGCUACAUCUCAAGUUUUUUAUUUUGAGACAGGGUCUCACUAACUUGCUUAGGCUAGCCUCACACUUGCAAUUCUUCUGUUUCAGUCUCCCAAGUCACUGUGAUUACAGAUGUGUGCCAUUGCACCCAGCCUCUUUAUCACUUCUUAAACUCACAUAUGUCCAUAUAAAUAGCUUUAUUGAGGUUAAUUGACAAAAAAUGAAACAUACUUAAAAUAUACUUUUGUUAAGUUUUAAAAAACCAUUUUAGAUGUGCAAUUCAAUAGCGUUCACUUUAUCUGCUAUGUAACAGAUGUCCAGAACUUUGUAUCUUGAAAAACUUAUGCUCUAAACCUACUAAGAACAAUGUCCCAUUUUUCCUUUCCCUUAGACUCUGGCAGCCAUCAUUUUAUUUUCUGUUUCUAUGAAUUUGACUACUUUAGAUAACCCAUGUUAAUAGAUCAAUAAAUUAUUUGUCUUUUUAAAAAUUUGUUUAUUUCAUUUUGCACUAUUUCCUUCAGGUUCGUCCAGGUUGUAGCAAGUGUCAGAAUUUCCUUUUUAAGGCUGAAUAAUAUUCAAUUUCAUUUAUCCGUUCAUCUGUCAAUGGAUGAUAGGUUACUUCCACCUCUUCACUAUUGUGAAUAAUGUUGCAGUGAACAUAGGUGUGCAAAUAUCUCUUGACGAUCUACCUUUCAAUUCUUUUAGAUACAUCCCCAUACAUGGGAUUGCUGGGUUAUAUGGUAGUUCUAUUUUUAGUUGUUUGAAGAACUGCCAUGCUGUUUCCAUGGCAUCUGCACCAUUGUUGUUGUUGAGUUGUAGAAUAUAUAUAUUUUAAUGUUAAUCCCCAACAUAUGGAAUUAUAUUUUGCAGUAUGGUUUGCAUGCUUCUUUCCAUUGUACAUAUUUUGAACAUAUUACUUAACGUUAUUAAUAUUAUUUUGCUAUAAUAUAUAAAAUUAUAGCACACUGGCCCAAACUAGUCGUAUGGUCCUGCCCAAUUUCAUGGAAGGUACAAGAUGUGGGGGAAUAUAGAUUUUUUUGUAAACAGUAAAUCUUUCUGCCACACCUAGUGGAUAGGUUGAAUUCAAAAUGCCUUGUUUGCUCUGAACUAGGUUUGCAAGAUGAAAUAUAAGACACUCAGUUAAAUUUGAAUUUCAGAUAAAAGACGAAUAUUUUUAGCAUGAGUACAUCCCUUAAAAUGUUUGGGAUAUACUUAUAUACAACUCUUAAAGUGCUGAGUGUCUGAAAUUCAAAUUUUGAUUUGUUACAUCUGGAAACCUUACUUAAGGCUGCAUGUUUCAUGCAUGACAAAAACCCAUUAAAGUGAAGAAUUAUUAUCCUCACCAAAAGGUGUUUAAAUCAUAUUUAAAAAUUUCCAGGCCAUAUAGGCACAUCUGCAAGUUGAACAUUGCUAGCUAAUUCCCAACUUCAGUUAUGCCAUAUAGUAGGGUUGCUUUUGUUUUUGUAUUUUUGGAGUAGAGGGGAUUGAACCCAGGGGCACUUAAACAUUGAACCACACCCCCAGCUGUUUUAUUUUGAGACAGGGUCUCACAAAGUUUCUGAAGCUGGCCUCAAACUUGUGAUUCUCCUGCCUCAGCCUCCGAGGUACUGGGAUUGCAGGUGUGUACCACCAUACCCAACAUCAAUUAAAGAUGUGGCUAGCCUUCUGCAACUUACUUUGGUUGCCUAAAUCUCUCCUUUCCUUAUUUGUAAAAUUAGGAGUUUUCACUUGAAAAUCUCAAGUGUACCAUUUUCUUCAUAAAAUCUGUUAUCCUAUGACCCUAUCGUGUUAUUUCUGUAGUAAUAUGUCAGGAUAUUAAUGAGAACAUGGUACAAAUACUCAUAUCUGAGCACAUGUGCAUGCUUGCAUAUUCUCUCUCUCUCUCUCUCUCUGUUCCCUAGGAAGCUAUAUACUUAUCUGAUGAUGAUGCUGUUGCUUAAAUAAUUAUUACAAAAUAUUCUUUUGAUUGUCUUCCUUUAAUGGUAAAAUUUUUCCAGGAAGACAGAUUUGAUUUUUGGAGCCAAACAGAAGUUACUUGGAGCCAAGAACAAUGGGUCCUCAGAAUGAGACAUGUAGGUUUAUCAAAUAAACAAAACUGUUUUAUUUAUUUAUUAAAAUAUUUUUUAGUUACAUAUGGACACAAUAUCUUUUUUUAAUAUUUAUUUUUUAGUUUUUGGUGGACACAGCAUCUUUAUUUUAUUUUUAUUGGUGCUGAGGAUCAAACCCAGUGCCCCGCGCAUGCCAGGCAAGCACACUACCGCUUGAGCCACAUUCCCAGCCCUGGACACAAUAUCUUUAUUUUUGAGAAUCUUAAACCAUCAGUUAAAAGAAGUUAGUCUUAAAAGAGAAAUCCAAACAUCAGUUUUACUAAUUUAUCUUAAUAGAACUAUAGAUGUUUUAUUAUACAGAUCACAUCCCUGUAAUAAGUGCAUGGCCUCUGAUUUUGAAAGACUCACACUAAACUUAAUAUGUAAAUUAUGUAAGUUGCUAUAAAAAUUCACCCUCUAUCAAAGAGCUGGUGAAUCAUUGCUACUGAUGAUAAAGUAUUAAAAUACAAUUCCACAGGAUUUAUUACCAGAAUGCUCUUGAAAAUAACUUUUAUUCCAAGAUGCAUUUCCUUUUUGGAGAACUUUUCAACUAUGUUUAGGAAACAAAAAUAUCCAAUAUUGAUGGUUUCCAUCACUCAACAGAAAUAGAUAGAAAGAUAGAUCUAAAUUAUUCAUGAAAUGAUUCUAACAGCUUCCACUUUACACUCUACAUUGUAAAGAUCAUGUGAAAAAUGAAGAAAACAGAAAAAUGUUUUUGUUUUAAUGAAAAAGAUAACUGCUCAUAAUCAAAGAUAAAUUAUUUUACAUUAAAAUUUAUACAUUUGAAAAAAAAACUUAUAUUCAGAUAGAAAUAAACCAGAAAUCAAUCAGUCAGUCAAAACCAGAUAAGUUCAGUUACAUUUUUAAACCUGGACUAACAGGUACAUUUUAUUGACAUACCUGUGAACAGUAUUUAGAUGAUCAAGGAGGACAACUCUGAAAAGUCCCUACCAAUCUUUUUCUCUUUUCUACCCAACCUCCAACCUUCUCUUGUUUUUAUUUUUAUAGGGUACACAUGUGUUUUUGCACUGUGUAUGCAUAUACACUACGUAACAAGGAUAUGUUUAAGAGCAUCCAAAAUUCAAUUCAAAAUUAUUUUGGAACACAGUCUUGAAAUAUUUAUCUAAAAGUCUUUAAAUUUUACAUACCCUGAACUAUUAAUUGUAAUUUUACUAAUUUAUCUUAAUAAAACUGUAGUGUACUGAAUUGUGACCUCCCAAAAGAUAUGUUCAGGCCCUAAUCCCUGAAGGUGUGAAUGUUACUUUAUAAGAAAAAUGGGUGUUUGUAGAUGUAAAAUUAUAUAUAUAAAUAUAUAAGGUUUAUGUAUGUGGAUUAUAAAAUACAUAUUUUAUGUGUUAUAAAAUACAUAUUCUACAUGUAUACAUUUAUAUGAAUGUGUUGUCAGCUGACUUUUGUACUUAAAAGCCAAAGUACAACACCCAGGCCAUUCAUUACUUGCUACAGUGAACUAGAACCAUAUGUUUAAGAUGGCCAAGAUGCAAGACAUAGCAGAUUUGGAUUUCAGAAUAAAAGUUGGAUUGAGGGUACUUAAGAGAAUAGUCAGACCCACAACAUACUUUGUAUGUAUCAGAAAUAAAACUUUAUCUGUUAAUACUCUGAAGUAUUAGAAGUGGUUUGUAAUCUAUCCUGACUAAUCUUCCAUGAUAGACUAAAUAAUUUCUGAGUCUAAAUUUGUUGUUUAAUCUUUAUGGAGUUGCCAUCAAUUUACCAGACUGGCUUGGAGGACUAAAUAAGAAUUAUAGCUGAAAAUCUUUAGCAUCUUUGUGCUGCAUGGUAGGCUGCAACAAAUGAGAACUAUAUUUAAUAAUAAGAAGUCCAUUAUGAAUAUUAUCAUUGAUUCUAUUCAUAACAAUUUUUUUAAAUUGGUAUUAUUAUCAUUUCUUAUAACAAUCUGAUGUGAGACUUGGAGUGGUUAAGCAAUUUGCUCAAGGUUAUUUCACAAAGCUCUUCUAAAUAUAGAAGUAGCUUUUUAUUCCAGGAAAGUCUGACUCCAAAAUCCAUAUUUUUCAAUUUAUGCCACAUAAACAAUCAUCUGUGACAUAUAGAAGUGCAUCAUUUUGACAUUCAUUUAUUUUAAAAAUAUUUAUUGAUUGCUAGCCAUGUAAGCUACUUGAUGUUAGCAUUAGAGACACAAAGGUGCACAACCAGAUUAAUCUUGUCAUUAAAGAAAUCUCAGUCUUUCUCAGGUAAGUAAAUAUAUCAUUGUGGAUUAGUACAACAACUUAGGUAAUUAUGUAGUCCCAUCAAAGCCUAAGCUGACUCCAAUAGGUGGUUCUGCAGCCAAGACAGCUCGUCGAAAUUGUACUGAGUUAGGAUUGUAUUUUUAUAUUCCCAUGUUGAUGGUUCUUUAGAUAUCAGCUAUUCAGAGCUGGAGGCAUGACUUGGGACAAGGCAGUUUUAUUUAACUGAGGGAAUCUUGAUAGAAAGAUGACAGCUGAAGACCAUCUUCUAACAGCAUGCCCAGAAGCUGGGGAAAUAAAACCUAAUGUCUACCAUAAUUCACUCCUUGCAUUACUCGAUAUUUUCACUGAUUCUGCAAGCAGCUCUCCAUAAGCUUGUCUUCCUGAGGAAAAUGUGGGAAAAACUAGAGUACUCAUUGUUGUAGAAGGUCAUAGGGCCAAAACUAAUAAAUGACCCCAUCCUCUAUUAUGUAUUCUAGAUCCCUGUACCCCUCAGCUACCAACUCUACUGGUCUCUGUGGACUCACUGAUUGGUGGCAUGACCAAGACUCUCUUCUCUGAGGCAUUUGUGUCACAAUUUAUCAUGGCUUUCUCUGGCCGAAGUUACUACACUGGUUAUUUACCAUCAGAACUGAAGAAGUAAAUACCAAGGGUCAUCUGAGUUGGUCACCUGGGGUUCCACAUGUGUUCCAACAAGGUCUACCUCUUCCUGAUGAUCAGAAUUAAUUUUCUCUGCAAAAGUGGUGACUUCCUAUCUUGCCGACUGGACUCUGCUGCGGUUGGCCAUGGGGCCACAACUAAUAACUGACUCUUUCCCUCACAAGAAGCCCAGGAAAUAGCCAGUGUGUAAUUCAACUGGACUCUUUCUCUGUCCCUGUGGAAAUGUACUUUACAGAUCCCAGAAGACUAUAUACUACAGUAAGAAAGAGAACUUUAAUUUCAGUGAGGAUCAAUUGUUAAGGUGUUUAAAAAUUUAGUGGACAAAAAGAACAGGAAAAAGUACAAAAGAAGACCACAAAGGAAGCAGUUGGCUCGAAGAGGAAAAACAGAAGUGUGUGUCAUCUCUCAAGUCAAAAGAAAAACAUAUUUCAAGAAAUGGAGUUUUAUCAAUUAUUAUCAAAUGCUGCUCCAGGAAAAAUACAGUAAGUUGAGGAUUUAGAAUAGACCAUUGUAUUCAGCAAGAAUUAGGGGCCCUGAGGAAUUAUUUUUGGUGGAGAGGAUGAAAUGAAAACCUGAGUUGGAGGAAGUUAUAAAUACAAAAGGAAGAAAAUAAAGUGAAGAUGGUAUUGAAUAAAGCUGUUUUUCUGUAAAAAGGGAUCAGUAAAGAAGGUAGCUUGUGGGAACAGGUGCAGAGGAAUUUUAAAAACUUGUUUACUUUUGGUUUUAUUUUUUAAGGUGGGAGAUAGUAUGGUAUUCAAGGAAACUGACCCAAAGGAAAUGCAAAGAUGCCUAAUUAUUUUUUGGUCACAGAUGCUUAACAAGAAGUUCUCAGUAACUAUCACUCUGAUUAUUUUAUACUAUUUUAAAAAUAUGAUUUUGAUAAUUAUUGAUAAUUAUAAAUACCUACUUUAUUAAAUUUUUGAUUUCUAGCAAGUUUUCAAAUAAUAUUAUCCAUGUAACCACAAUCUCAGAUGUCCGUGAAUGUUGCUGUGAAAAUUAAGAAUCAAACUGCUUAUCUCUUAUGACUAUAUGAGAAUAAAAUUACACACAUUGUUUUGGAGAAAGGA
Molecule: long non-coding RNA, 22952 nt
Filed under: Marmota monax (woodchuck)
Lineage: Eukaryota; Metazoa; Chordata; Mammalia; Rodentia; Sciuridae
Source: RNAcentral